GACGAACCGUCCAAGCGUUAUUCGGAAUCACUGGGCUUACAGAGUUCGUAGGCGGUCUGGAAAGUUGGGUGUGAAAUCCCUCGGCUCAACCGAGGAACUGCGCUCAAAACUACCCGACUCGAGGGAGAUAGAGGAAAGCGGAACUGAUGGUGGAGCGGUGAAAUGCGUUGAUAUCAGCAGGAACACCGGUGGCGAAGGCGGCUUUCUGGGUCUUACCUGACGCUGAGGAACGAAAGCUAGGGGAGCGAACGGG
Molecule: ribosomal RNA, 253 nt
Filed under: uncultured bacterium
Lineage: Bacteria
Description: partial 16S ribosomal RNA
Rfam family: Bacterial small subunit ribosomal RNA
Source: RNAcentral